AGUGAACGCUGGCGGUAGGCUUAACACAUGCAAGUCGAACGGCAGCACAGGAGAGCUUGCUCACUGGGUGGCGAGAGGCGGACGGAUGAGGAAUACAUUGUAAUCUGCCCAUUCGUGGGAGCUAACGUAGGGAAACUUACUAUCAUACCGGAUACGACCUUAGGGUGAAAGAGGGGGAUCGCAAUCCCUCUCGCGUUUGGAUGCGCCGUUGGAGGUUUAGCUAGUUGUCGGGGCAUUGGCCCACCACGGCGGCGAUCCGUAGCUGGUCUGUGAGGGUGUACAGCGACAGUGAGAGUGAGACACGGUCCUGACUCCUACAGGAGGCAGCGGUGGGGAAGAGUGGACGAUGGGCGCAAGCCUGAUCCAGCCAUGCCGCGUUGAUGAAGAAGGCCUGCGGGUGGUAAAGCCCUUUUGUUGUGAAAGAAAUCUUUCAGGCUAAUACCCUGUGAGGAUGACGGUACCCAAAGAAUAAGCACCGGCUAACUUCGUG
Molecule: ribosomal RNA, 490 nt
Filed under: uncultured bacterium
Lineage: Bacteria
Description: partial 16S ribosomal RNA
Rfam family: Bacterial small subunit ribosomal RNA
Source: RNAcentral